Molecule: ribosomal RNA, 406 nt
Filed under: uncultured bacterium
Lineage: Bacteria
Description: partial 16S ribosomal RNA
Rfam family: Bacterial small subunit ribosomal RNA
Source: RNAcentral
GAUGAACGCUAGCUACAGGCUUAACACAUGCAAGUCGAGGGACCGGCGCACGGGUGAGUAACACGUAUCCAACCUGCCCUUUACUCGGGGAUAGCCUUUCGAAAGAAAGAUUAAUACCCGAUAUAAAGGAUGGGGAUGCGGUCCAAUAGGUGGUUGGUGAGGUAACGGCUCAACAAGCCUUAGAUGGAUAGGGGUUCGGAGGGGAAGGCUCCCCACAUUGGAAAUUAGACCCGUUCCACACUCGUACGGGAGGCAGCAGUGAGGAAUAUUGGUCAAUGGUCGCUAGCCUGAACCAGCCAAGUAGCGUGAAGGAUGAAUGCUUAUUGGUCGUAUACUUCUUUUAUAUAAGAAUAUGUAUUAGAUGAAUAAGGAUCGGCUAACUCCGUGCCAGCAGCCGCGGUAAUUC